RNAcentral lists this small RNA (270 nucleotides) under Aneurinibacillus migulanus. Its description in RNAcentral is "BsrG". It matches the Rfam family "BsrG". Rfam says of the family: bsrE, bsrG and bsrH pair through intermolecular interactions with antisense sRNAs. Lineage: Bacteria; Bacillati; Bacillota; Bacilli; Caryophanales; Paenibacillaceae. The record is from Rfam by way of RNAcentral.
UGCACAAUUUGAUACGGCUCCUCAAGGGUGGUCUACGGCUCACUCCCUGUAAGAAAGGGGGUGGAGUUUAUGACAGUAUUCGAAUCAUUAAUGUUGAUGAUUGCAUUCGCAACACUAAUUGUAGCUAUACUGUCGUUUAACCAAAAGAAAUAGGCCCCCUUGAGUUUGGACGACCAGGGAACCUAUUUCUAUGACCUGUAAUUAGUCUGAGCCGUCCCCCUAGAGGGAACGUUUAUUGUGCAUGACCGUUUGGUGUUACCAGCACCGAGC